GCGGCGGGUUAAAAUACAAAGAUUACAUUGUAUUAUAUGUACAAAAUGUACACACAAAAACACACACAGUACACUUCAAAACGUGAAAAUUAAUAAUAUAUACAUUGAACUAUAGUUGCAGGUUCGUAAAGGAUGCUCUGAAACAGCAAAUGGAAAUGGAACAAGAACAACACGUCCUUGGCGUAUGCAAAAUGUCCUGCAAAUUGCAAAAGGAGCUUCAAGGGACAAUCAUUUAAUUCAUACAUGAACAACAGAAUGCAUUUAGUAUUGAACCUUUAAUACAGUAUUGUAGUAAAUAUGUAAUAUAAAUCAUAAUUGAUUAAGUUGAAUUUGUACUCAGUUGAUAACAUACUAAUCCAUACAAUCUAUUUCGAAUGAAUAUAUGCAAAAAAAAAUCUGAAUCGAAUAAACUAAAUAAUGUUCAUAUAUGUCCGUUUUUUUCUUAUGUCAAAUAAAACAAACAAACACACCUGCCGUUAUUUAUAUUACAUACGAAUAGAAUAUUUUCUUGCGUGUUAAAAUAAAUUCCAAAAAUAGCCUAUUCAAUCAAUUUUAUUUAGUUAA
This 564-nucleotide long non-coding RNA is filed under the name Mytilus galloprovincialis (Mediterranean mussel). Lineage: Eukaryota; Metazoa; Mollusca; Bivalvia; Mytilida; Mytilidae. The record is from RNAcentral.